This 1342-nucleotide unclassified non-coding RNA is filed under the name Hevea brasiliensis (rubber tree). Lineage: Eukaryota; Viridiplantae; Streptophyta; Magnoliopsida; Malpighiales; Euphorbiaceae. The record is from RNAcentral.
CGAUGGAGUCCAGUCCACACAGUAUGUGAUGCUAUUGUGUUUUUGUGUUGUUGCAUUUAUCAUUGAUAUUUCUGGUUUGAGAUAAAUAUGUUGACUUUUUUUUUACCUGCUUUUGGUUUUGCCAAUUGACUAUUGGGUGGAUUAUGUGCUUACUGCUUUGGUUAUAUUUGUUUAUGUCUUUUCCUUAUGGUUGCUUGUUCUCUUUGUUUGUAUUUGUUGUGAAUCCUAGAAGCUGCGCAGUAAUUUUGGCCUCACGUUAUUCAUGAAAUAUGUUGUUUUCUACUGCUUAAUAAUCUAACCAUUGGACGGCUGCAAUUAUUUGGAUAAGCCAUCUUGCAGUUCUGAUUACUUCAUUCGUGGAUGAGGAUGAGUGCCAGCAGAGAUAUGCAUAUGGUAACUCUUUGCUUCAUGCAUGUUUUUAAUCAACUUUCUGGCGUGAUCAUCUGAUGGCUGUUCUGAUUGGCAGUGCAUCUUGAUGAUGGGCAACUGUAAGGACAGAAACUUGAAAUGACUGCAGGACUGAAUUUCACAUCAGCUCUUAGGGGCUUAAUUGUAGCCCAGAUUGAGGUGCAGUUUCCUGAGCUCUGGCACGACUGUAGUUUAAAAGAGAUUGCUUGGGUUAGGAUUCCUUAAUAUUGUAAACCCAUCCUAUGCAUGGGAAACUAGAGCAGCCAAUUUGUGAAGGAAAAGGAAAUUGGUAGUGAUGUUGAUAUGGUAAAUGUUGGAAUGAAAGUGAUUUUUUUUUUACUUAAUUCAUCUCUGUUUCUUUGCCCAAAAGGAGAAGCUAAUGAAGGUCGGAAAAUCAGAAAAGAACUUUGUGAAGCAGGAUGGGUGGAGAGUAAUAUUUUCCUUUGCGGCAGACUUUGAUGGUGUAUAUCUUUCUGUAUCAUGAAGUGAAUUCAUCAUUACACUCUAAAGAUGACUACAAAUAAACGUUCCAAUUGGCAGUGAUGUUAUGAAGGAGUAGUUGCUAAGAACAAAUUUAACCGUUGAAGGAAUACAUCUAACUCGCCAUUUGCAUGAGAGGAAAUUCAAGAAGUAAAGUUUGAAGUAUUUCAUAGCAUUAGAUUGAUAUCACAUGCUGCAUUUUAUUUUGUUGAUGUAUGACUUUGACCUGAUCCUGACAAGUAAUUAACUGCUAAGUAUUUCUUAUUAUACUAAUUUUUCUUUUCUUUUCUUUUUAAUCAGGUUGCAUGUUUUCUCUAAAUCUUUUUGUAGUACUUGGUCGGCCAACUGGUCUCAUUGCCUUUUGCUAUUCAUUGUCCUGUUACUAAAUCUAGUUAAUUUUUUUUUCUAAUGUGAUUCUAAUUUGCAGGUCGAAAGCAUUGUUUUGAGCAUCAUA